RNAcentral lists this long non-coding RNA (1129 nucleotides) under Mytilus galloprovincialis (Mediterranean mussel). The record is from RNAcentral. Lineage: Eukaryota; Metazoa; Mollusca; Bivalvia; Mytilida; Mytilidae.
UGAAUUUAAAAGAAGUGAUACGGAAUUUUAUUCUGCACUAUAUAGGUCCGCGGGUCUAUAAUGUCGGUUAUUAUUCCAAAACUAAUUAUAUAUGCAUCUCUUUGAUCUUUGCGCGAAUUGAAAAGUAGGCGAUGGCAAUACACCCGAGGCCCCUCAGGGGCCUCUGAUGUAAAAANAAAUUGAUUCUUAUAUAUGAAACAUGCAUUUAAUCUAUCCAAUGCAUUAAAUAAGUUUAUUUUGUUAUAGGGUGAAUGAAAGAUUUGACUACAACUGGACUAGCCUUCAAGUUGGAUUUGCGCAAAACCUUUCAUCCACUUACUUUUCUAUUAUUUUUUUGUUUUUUGUUUUUUUUUUAAAUAUGUUCAAAUAGAACGCAAACUUGUAAUCUUCUCAACAAUCAUAACCAGGCUGCAGAAUACACAUUAAAACAAAAUAUUUAACUUCUUGUAAUUUUAUUUGAUUAUUUUACAUUCACACAGUUGAGUAAACGACGGUGGCCAUAUGAUCAGCUGGAUUUACUGAUCCUCCCGGAAAAAAAAUAAUCUAUCCUCAGGUUUUUGGAGGGUUUCGUGUUGUUCAGUCGAUUUAAUGACUGUUAUUCAGACUGUAUUGUUGUCGCCAAUUAAGGUUUCUCUUCGACUUAUUAGUUGUAAAUGUUCGUUUAGGACUUUUGGUCUCUUUUUUGCGCAUGAUAAAAUUGAUAAUGGAAAUGGGGAAUAUAUUAAAGAGGCAACAAACCCGACCAAAGACCAGAAAACAGUCGAAGGCCACAACUGGGUCUUCAAAGCAGCGAGGAAAUCCCGCAUCCGGAGGUGCGUCCUCAGCUGUCCCCUAAAUAAUUUUUUUUUUAAAUACAGUGAAAAUGGACGUCACACUAAACUUCGAAACAUAUGAAUAAACUAAAAUAAAAAAAAUAAAACAUACAAGACUAAGAAAGUCUAGAGGUUCCAGAUAUGGACGGACGCAAAAAUGCGGCGGGAUUAAACAUGUUUUGUUAGAUCGCAACCCUCCCCUAUACAUCUAGCCAAUGUAGAAUAAAGAAACAUACUUAUAUUCUUACUCAUAAUGAAAAAAAUAAAAUUACGCAAUAGAUUGUUGUUAUUGUAUAAAAAGGUGAUUAUCCCAGUAC